UAAGGGGGUAUUCUGGUCUAGAAAUUAAAAAAAUCGAUUUUUUUUUCUUUUCAUAUUUUCAUAGUAUAACUAUUUUAGAAUAUGUCUACGAGAGGAUUUUCCCAAAUUCAAAUUAUUUUCGGAGAAAUAAGUAUUUUGCUGAGCAGCCAUCCAAAUCGGUUGGGCUGCAACUAAUAGAACAAAAGACAUAAUGGGGUACUUUAAACGCGUUUUUCUCAGAACUGUCUUUUUGAAUCUGAUACCCACGAUUUCUCAGGUUCUGCCGAACCGAUUUACUUGAAAUUUUAAGAGAUUCUUCUUCAAGGACUUGUCUACGUCCGGAACUACGGCCAUCCCCAAAUUUUCAUUUUUAAUAUUUUUAACAAAUCGAAGAAUGUUCAAAAAAAUGUUUUUGAUUUCAGAUUUCUAGGAGAGUUAAAAUCGUGGGUAUGGUCACGCACCAAAUUUUUGAGACGCACCACUCCAUGAACUGAUAACUAACGGAAUUUUUAUUUUUUUUUUUACUUUUUUAUUUUUUUUGUAUGCUUCUAACGUGAAUAAAUAAUGUAUAAAAAAAUGUAUGGUAAAA
Molecule: long non-coding RNA, 568 nt
Organism: Eupeodes corollae
Lineage: Eukaryota; Metazoa; Arthropoda; Insecta; Diptera; Syrphidae
Exons: 2
Source: RefSeq, a predicted model, not a curated record